This 429-nucleotide ribosomal RNA is filed under the name Fusobacteriota bacterium. RNAcentral's name for it is "Fusobacteria bacterium partial 16S ribosomal RNA". It matches the Rfam family "Bacterial small subunit ribosomal RNA", at positions 355 to 776 of the family's 1533-position model. The record is from RNAcentral. Lineage: Bacteria; Fusobacteriati; Fusobacteriota.
UGGGGAAUAUUGCACAAUGGGCGCAAGCCUUAUGCAGCCAUGCCGCGUGUAUGAAGAAGGCCUUCGGGUUGUAAAGUACUUUCAGCGGGGAGUAAGGGAGUAAAGUUAAUACCUUUGCUCAUUGACGUUACCCGCAGAAGAAGCACCGGCUAACUCCGUGCCAGCAGCCGCGGUAAUACGGAGGGUGCAAGCGUUAAUCGGAAUUACUGGGCGUAAAGCGCACGCAGGCGGUUUGUUAAGUCAGAUGUGAAAUCCCCGGGCUCAACCUGGGAACUGCAUCUGAUACUGGCAAGCUUGAGUCUCGUAGAGGGGGGUAGAAAUCCAGGUGUAGCGGUGAAAUGCGUAGAGAUCUGGAGGAAUACCGGUGGCGAAGGCGGCCCCCUGGACGAAGACUGACGCUCAGGUGCGAAAGCGUGGGGAGCAAACAGG